Molecule: ribosomal RNA, 424 nt
Filed under: uncultured bacterium
Lineage: Bacteria
Description: partial 16S ribosomal RNA
Rfam family: Bacterial small subunit ribosomal RNA
Source: RNAcentral
AAUUUUGGACAGGGGGGGAAACCCUGAUCCAGCAAUGCCGCGUGCAUGAUGAAGGCCUUCGGUAUGUAAACUGCUUUCGUACGGAACGAAAAGUCUUGGGCUAAUACCCUGGAAUCAUGCCGGUACCGUAGGUAUAAGCACCGGCUAACCACAUGCCAGGUGCCGCGGUAAUACGUAGGGUGCAAGCGUUAAUCGGAAUUACUGGGCGUAAAGCGUGCGCAGGCGGUUUUGUAAGACAGUGGUGAAAUCCCCGGGCUCAACCUGGGAACUGCCAUUGUGACUGCAAGGCUGGAGUGCGGCAGAGGGGGAUGGAAUUCCGCGUGUAGCAGUGAAAUGCGUAGAUAUGCGGAGGAACACCGAUGGCGAAGGCAAUCCCCUGGGCCUGCACUGACGCUCAUGCACGAAAGCGUGGGGAGCAAACAGG